CUGUGAUGAAUCUUCUCUAAUUACUGCCA
Molecule: non-coding RNA, 29 nt
Filed under: Homo sapiens (human)
Lineage: Eukaryota; Metazoa; Chordata; Mammalia; Primates; Hominidae
Source: RNAcentral